CACACUAAUAUUAAGCAAUUCUAUGCAAUUAUAGAAAAUUUUAUGUUAAAACUAGUAACAAGAAGAAGAACUUCUCAUAAAUGCAAGUGUAAAUUAGGAGGGACCUGCCACUAAUAAUUACCAUACAUGAGCUCACAGUAGCAACUUCACAAGAAAACCCUACUUGACCAUAUGUUAACCUAACACAAGUGCAUUUCAAGAAAGAUUAAGGGAGAAAGAAGGAACUCGGCAAACUUUAACCCCGCCUGUUUACCAAAAACAUCGCCUCUUGAAUUAUAUAAGAGGUCCAGCCUGCCCAGUGACUUUGUUCAACGGCCGCGGUAUCCUAACCGUGCGAAGGUAGCGUAAUCACUUGUUCUUUAAAUGAGGACUAGUAUGAACGGCACCACGAAGGUUAUACUGUCUCCUUUCUUUAAUCAGUGAAACUAAUCUCCCCGUGAAGAAGCGGGAAUAUAACUAUAAGACGAGAAGACCCUAUGGAGCUUUAAAUAUAGUAACAAAUGCUUACUUUAAUUUUUAUCCAAGGAGAUAAGCCAUAAUACUUAGGCAUUUUGAUUACAAAUUUUAGGUUGGGGCGACCCCGGAGUAAAAAAUAACCUCCACGGCGAAUGGAACCUGUUCCCUAAAUCAAGGACUACAACCCUAAGAAUCAAUAAAUUGACACCUAUUGACCCAAUAUUUUUGAUCAACGAACCAAGUUACCCUAGGGAUAACAGCGCAAUCCACUUCAAGAGCCCAUAUCGACAAGUGGGUUUACGACCUCGAUGUUGGAUCAGGGUAUCCCGGUGGUGCAGCCGCUACUAAAGGUUCGUUUGUUCAACGAUU
This 825-nucleotide ribosomal RNA is filed under the name Leptodactylus viridis (Jim's white-lipped frog). RNAcentral's name for it is "partial 16S ribosomal RNA". It matches the Rfam family "Bacterial large subunit ribosomal RNA", at positions 1471 to 2589 of the family's 2925-position model. The record is from RNAcentral. Lineage: Eukaryota; Metazoa; Chordata; Amphibia; Anura; Leptodactylidae.